GGCUCCUUCGUCUAGUGGUUAGGACGCCGGGUUUUCAUCUCGGCAACAGGGGUUCAAGUCCCCUAGGAGUCACCA
This 75-nucleotide transfer RNA is filed under the name Bathymodiolus platifrons methanotrophic gill symbiont. RNAcentral's name for it is "tRNA-Glu". It matches the Rfam family "tRNA". From Rfam's summary of the family: Transfer RNA (tRNA) molecules are approximately 80 nucleotides in length. Lineage: Bacteria; Pseudomonadati; Pseudomonadota; Gammaproteobacteria. The record is from RNAcentral.